RNAcentral lists this ribosomal RNA (424 nucleotides) under uncultured Nitrosospira sp. Its description in RNAcentral is "bacterial SSU rRNA". It matches the Rfam family "Bacterial small subunit ribosomal RNA", at positions 202 to 622 of the family's 1533-position model. Lineage: Bacteria; Pseudomonadati; Pseudomonadota; Betaproteobacteria; Nitrosomonadales; Nitrosomonadaceae. The record is from RNAcentral.
CAAGACCUCGCGCUAUUAGAGCGGCCGAUGUCCGAUUAGCUAGUUGGUGGGGUAAAGGCCUACCAAGGCAACGAUCGGUAGCUGGUCUGAGAGGAUGAUCAGCCACACUGGGACUGAGACACGGCCCAGACUCCUACGGGAGGCAGCAGUGGGGAAUUUUGGACAAUGGGCGCAAGCCUGAUCCAGCCAUGCCGCGUGAGUGAAGAAGGCCUUCGGGUUGUAAAGCUCUUUCGGCCGGAACGAAAUCGUCCGGGCUAAUACCCCGGAUGGAUGACGGUACCGGAAGAAGAAGCACCGGCUAACUACGUGCCAGCAGCCGCGGUAAUACGUAGGGUGCAGGCGUUAAUCGGAAUUACUGGGCGUAAAGCGUGCGCAGGCGGCUUCCUAAGUCAGAUGUGAAAUCCCCGGGCUUAACCUGGGAACU